This 78-nucleotide small RNA is filed under the name Flavobacterium sp. A45. RNAcentral describes it as "Flavo-1 RNA". It matches the Rfam family "Flavo-1 RNA". Lineage: Bacteria; Pseudomonadati; Bacteroidota; Flavobacteriia; Flavobacteriales; Flavobacteriaceae. The record is from Rfam by way of RNAcentral.
GUUUAGCCCCGAUGGAAGCGAUAUCCUUUUCCUGAAUCCUUUAGCCAGGAAAAGAUUUAGCGGACAGCGGGACUGAAU